RNAcentral lists this ribosomal RNA (424 nucleotides) under uncultured bacterium. RNAcentral describes it as "bacterial SSU rRNA". It matches the Rfam family "Bacterial small subunit ribosomal RNA", at positions 355 to 776 of the family's 1533-position model. The record is from RNAcentral.
UGAGGAAUAUUGGUCAAUGGACGGAAGUCUGAACCAGCCAUGCCGCGUGCAGGAAGAAUGUCCUAUGGAUUGUAAACUGCUUUUAUACGGGAAGAAACGCUUAUUUGCGAAUGAGUUUGACGGUACCGUAAGAAUAAGGAUCGGCUAACUCCGUGCCAGCAGCCGCGGUAAUACGGAGGAUCCGAGCGUUAUCCGGAAUUAUUGGGUUUAAAGGGUUCGUAGGCGGGCUUGUAAGUCAGGGGUGAAAGUUAGCGGCUCAACCGUUAAAUUGCCUUUGAUACUGCUAGUCUUGAAUACUUGUGAAGUAACUAGAAUAUGUGGUGUAGCGGUGAAAUGCAUAGAUAUCACAUGGAAUACCAAUUGCGAAGGCAGGUUACUAACAUUUUAUUGACGCUGAUGAACGAAAGCGUGGGUAGCGAACAGG